ACAUCCGUACGGUGAGUCUUCUUCGUAUGGCCAUGUUUGGCGUUAACGGCAUCGGCCACUUCCUGCCAGUCCUUCUGACGUAGAUUACCUCGGUUGAGCUCCAAAUAUCGCUUGCCCCAAACUUCGACAAGAGUGGAUGUAGCCUCCUCGCUCCAGCAAUCCUCACGUAUAGGCAAGGGUCUGGAGUGAGGUGUGGUGGACGGCGUAACAGAAUCGGUGAGGUCACCCAUCGCUCUGAUCUAAUGGUGGUGGUGGUGGUGGUCGUAUCGUUGGUGGUGAAUUAGGUUAUUAUCGAUUUGUGUGAUAUUGAUGUGAGAGAUAAGGUUAAAGAGUAAAGGGGAUCUCUGACCAAGAAAAAAUACAAGAAAACGGGGUCGGUGCGGCGAAGGUGACGCGCCGGACGCAUGGGCCGUAAGAGUAGGGGAAUUAAAGAGAUGGAUCGCCGGGACGUGGAUAAGCGC
This 461-nucleotide unclassified non-coding RNA is filed under the name Hevea brasiliensis (rubber tree). Lineage: Eukaryota; Viridiplantae; Streptophyta; Magnoliopsida; Malpighiales; Euphorbiaceae. The record is from RNAcentral.